RNAcentral lists this small nuclear RNA (71 nucleotides) under Danio rerio (zebrafish). The record is from RNAcentral. Lineage: Eukaryota; Metazoa; Chordata; Actinopteri; Cypriniformes; Danionidae.
UGUUUUGAAAAAAACAACAACAUAUACUUGGAUCGAUACAGAGAAGAUUAGCAUGGCCCCUACGCGAAGGA